This 523-nucleotide ribosomal RNA is filed under the name uncultured bacterium. RNAcentral describes it as "bacterial SSU rRNA". It matches the Rfam family "Bacterial small subunit ribosomal RNA", at positions 777 to 1291 of the family's 1533-position model. The record is from RNAcentral.
AAUAGAUACCCCGGUAGUCCACGCCGUAAACGAUGGAUGCUAGCCGUUGGGCGAGCUUGCUCGUCAGUGGCGCAGCUAACGCAUUAAGCAUCCCGCCUGGGGAGUACGGUCGCAAGAUUAAAACUCAAAGGAAUUGACGGGGGGCCCGCACAAGCGGUGGAGCAUGUGGUUCAAUUCGAAGCAACGCGCAGAACCUUACCAACCCUUGACAUGUCCAGUAUGGGUUUCAGAGAUGAGACUCUUCAGUUCGGCUGGCUGGAACACAGGUGCUGCAUGGCUGUCGUCAGCUCGUGUCGUGAGAUGUUGGGUUAAGUCCCGCAACGAGCGCAACCCUCGCCCUUAGUUGCCAUCAUUUAGUUGGGCACUCGUAGGGGGACUGCCGGUGAUAAGCCGCGAGGAAGGUGGGGAUGACGUCAAGUCCUCAUGGCCCUUACGGGUUGGGCUACGACACGUGCUACAAUGGCGGGUGACAAUGGGAUGCAAAGGGGGUGACCCGUGUGCAAAGUCUCAAAAGCCGUCUCGU